UGCCUAAAACAUAGUGUUAAUGAAUCGUAUCCCAUUAGAACUCUGCAGUUAAGCGUGCUUGGGCUAGAGUAGUACUGUGAUGGGUGACCGCCUGGGAAGUCCUAGUAUUUUACAUGC
Picea glauca (white spruce) is the source of this 117-nucleotide non-coding RNA. NCBI's taxonomy places the organism in Eukaryota, Viridiplantae, Streptophyta, Pinopsida, Pinales, Pinaceae. The record is from Rfam.